Molecule: long non-coding RNA, 872 nt
Organism: Prionailurus viverrinus (fishing cat)
Lineage: Eukaryota; Metazoa; Chordata; Mammalia; Carnivora; Felidae
Exons: 3
Source: RefSeq, a predicted model, not a curated record
CAGGGAGGCCGGGGAACCCGGGAGGUCCAUCGGCUCCGACUUCUCCCUGCACCCGACACAGGAGGAGACGAGCGUCAUCCCACCGCCCAGCAAAGCCUGGCGUCCGGGGAGGGCCAGCCCAGAGCGGAGGGUCCCAGGGACACCGGGCCAGCUGUGCAGGCAGCUAACACGUGCAGCCUAGACUGUUCUGGAAGCUGCCCCAUCAGUUUGCUCCAAGGAGCACCCCACCAGACGACUUCGUUUUAAGGAAGAAACGGUUUUAUCCACUUUAAAAACGGCACUACCGAGGGAGACCCACAGACUGAGGAGGCCCGAGGGUCCUGGAUGCCAGCUUGUGAGCAGGGCAGGGAGGUGGGGACUUGACACAGGGAGGCCCCCGGGCAGAGGGCUGGGCUCUGUGCAGGCUCAGCCCGAGGCCGGGAUCACCACCUGGCCCGGCCCCACCCAAGACCACCUAACCUCACCUGCAAAUGGAGGGACCACAGUCUCCUGCCUGUGAGGGGCACAGGCGCCCCCUGGCCCACAGCAGGGCGUGUUACCCACGCACGCAAGCCCACCGGAAGGCCCCGGGCAGCGCCGACCACGGCCUCUCCCCAGGGGGCCUCCCCGGCCAGUUCCACUGCCUCCUCCGGCCCCUCGAGUGGGCUGGGGUCCCCUCACCGCUUCCCAUAGGCAUCGGAUGCUGUCCUACGGGGGUUGGGCCCCGGCCCUCCGUGAGCUGCCCCUGAGGCUGGUGUUAACCCCUUUACGGUCUAUUUAACAGAUAGUCAGCAGUUUUGACUUGUCACCCACUUUAUCCACGUGCUCAUUUUAAUAGAAUCUUAUAUUUUACUUUCUGGGUUUUAAUACUAGUGCCUUUUUAUUAUAUUUAA